GAUGAAGAACGCAGCGAAAUGCGAUAAGUAAUGUGAAUUGCAGAAUUCAGUGAAUCAUCGAAUCUUUGAACGCACAUUGCGCCCGUCAGUAUUCUGGCGGGCAUGCCUGUUCGAGCGUCAUUACGCCCCUCAAGUCCCCUGUGGACUUGGUGUUGGGGAUCGGCGAGGCUGGUUUUCCAGCACAGCCGUCCCUUAAAUUAAUUGGCGGUCUCGCCGUGGCCCUCCUCUGCGCAGUAGUAAAACACUCGCAACAGGAGCCCGGCGCGGUCCACUGCCGUAAAACCCCCCAACUUUUUAUAGUUGACCUCGAAUCAGGUAGGACUACCCGCUGAACUUAAGCAUAUCAAUAAGCGGAAGGA
This 359-nucleotide unclassified non-coding RNA is filed under the name soil metagenome. Its description in RNAcentral is "partial contains 5.8S ribosomal RNA, internal transcribed spacer 2, and large subunit ribosomal RNA". The stretch from base 1 to 120 matches the Rfam family "5.8S ribosomal RNA", at positions 35 to 154 of the family's 154-position model. The record is from RNAcentral.